UGGCUCAGAACGAACGCUGGCGGCAUGCCUUACACAUGCAAGUCGAACGGCAGCACGGGUGCUUGCACCUGGUGGCGAGUGGCGAACGGGUGAGUAAUAUAUCGGAACGUACCUUAUUGUGGGGGAUAACGCAGCGAAAGCUGUGCUAAUACCGCAUAAUCCCUAAGGGGGAAAGCAGGGGACCGUAAGGCCUUGCGCAAUUAGAGCGGCCGAUACCUGAUUAGCUAGUUGGUGAGGUAAAGGCUCGGCAAGGCAACGAUCAGUAGCUGGUCUGAGAGGACGAUCAGCCACAUUUCCACUGAGACACGGACCCAGACUCCUACG
This 324-nucleotide ribosomal RNA is filed under the name uncultured bacterium. RNAcentral's name for it is "bacterial SSU rRNA". It matches the Rfam family "Bacterial small subunit ribosomal RNA", at positions 20 to 343 of the family's 1533-position model. The record is from RNAcentral.